CCUACGGGUGGCAGCAGUGGGGAAUAUUGGACAAUGGGGGGAACCCUGAUCCAGCGACGCCGCGUGAGUGAAGAAGGAUUUCGGGAUGUAAAGCUCUAUCAGCAGGGAAGAAAAUGACGGUACCUGACUAAGAAGCCCCGGCUAACUACGUGCCAGCAGCCGCGGUAAUACGUCGGGGGCAAGCGUUAUCCGGAUUUACUGGGUGUAAAGGGGGCGUAGACGGUGCAGCAAGUCUGAUGGGAAAGGUCGGGGCCCAACCCCGGGACUGCAUUGGAAACUGUUGAACUGGAGUAAAUGAGAGGUAAGCGGAAUGCCUAGUGUAGCGGUGAAAUGCGUAGAUAUUAGGAGGAACACCAGUGGCGAAGGCGGCUUACUGGACCGUAACUGACGCUGAGGCACGAAAGCGUGGGGAGCAAACAGGAUUAGAUACCCGGGUAGUC
Molecule: ribosomal RNA, 440 nt
Filed under: uncultured bacterium
Lineage: Bacteria
Description: partial 16S ribosomal RNA
Rfam family: Bacterial small subunit ribosomal RNA
Source: RNAcentral